This is a long non-coding RNA of Hibiscus syriacus, 105 nucleotides long. RefSeq lists it as uncharacterized. NCBI's taxonomy places the organism in Eukaryota, Viridiplantae, Streptophyta, Magnoliopsida, Malvales, Malvaceae. The record is from RefSeq and is a predicted model, not a curated record. The transcript is spliced from 2 exons.
CGACCCCAACUACAACGAGACCCCUUCAUUUCUCAGUGGAGUGGGGUGUUGGUGUUUGGAGCAGCUCGUUGGCCAAGGUGGAGGCAUGGGUAUGGUAUGGGAUUU